UGGUGGAGUGAUUUGUCUGGUUAAUUCCGUUAACGAACGAGACCUCAGCCUGCUAAAUAGUUUGACGAACACUGCGUGUUCGCAUCAAAGCUUCUUAGAGGGACUUUUUGUAUCUAGCAGAAGGAAGUUUGAGGCAAUAACA
This 142-nucleotide ribosomal RNA is filed under the name uncultured eukaryote. RNAcentral's name for it is "partial 18S ribosomal RNA". It matches the Rfam family "Eukaryotic small subunit ribosomal RNA", at positions 1299 to 1458 of the family's 1831-position model. The record is from RNAcentral.